RNAcentral lists this small RNA (88 nucleotides) under Flavobacterium nitrogenifigens. Its description in RNAcentral is "Flavo-1 RNA". It matches the Rfam family "Flavo-1 RNA". Lineage: Bacteria; Pseudomonadati; Bacteroidota; Flavobacteriia; Flavobacteriales; Flavobacteriaceae. The record is from RNAcentral.
CUCCAGCCCCGAUUGUAGCAGAAAUCCUUUUCUGCCGGUCCCGAGGCUUCGGGAGGCAAAAAGAUUGGAGCGCAAAGCGGGAGAGGCU